Molecule: long non-coding RNA, 14633 nt
Filed under: Triticum aestivum (bread wheat)
Lineage: Eukaryota; Viridiplantae; Streptophyta; Magnoliopsida; Poales; Poaceae
Description: long non-coding RNA (TAES_LNC009811)
Source: RNAcentral
AGCCGGGCGACCUCUUCUCCUAUAGCUUUUCAUAGUUCCUCAUUGAAUCGCCGCAGAAACUGCCUGACCGGCUUAUACUUCGGAUCAAUAUUAAGAGUAUGAUUAGUGAGUCCUCUCAGUACACCCGGCAUGUCAGAAGGCUUCCAUGCAAAGAUGUCUCGGUUCUCACGGAUGAACUCGAUGAGCGCGCUUUCCUAUUUAGGAUCCAAGUUGGCACUGAUGCUGAAUUUCUUAGACGAAUCGCCUGGAGUAAAAUCAACAAGCUUAGUCUCUGCAGCCGAUUUAAACUUCAUGGCCGGGUCAUGCUCCGUAGUCGGCUUCUUGAUAGAGGUCAUAUCCGCCGGGCCAAUGUUAUUUUGAUAAAAUUUGAGCUCCUCUGCUGCACAGAUAGACUCAGCAUAAGCCGCAUCGCCUUCUUCGCAUUCCAGGGCCACCUUUCGGCUUCCAUGCACGGUGAUGGUACCCUUGUAACCCGGCAUCUUGAGCUGUAAAUAAACAUAACACGGCCGCGCCAUAAACUUGGCAUAAGCCGGCCGCCCAAACAAAGCGUGAUAUGGACUCUUGAUUUUUACCACUUCAAAAGUUAACUUUUCCGCCCUAGAAUCAUGCUUGUCUCCAAAGGCCACCUCUAGCUCAAUCUUACCCAUAGGAUACGCUGAUUUACCCGGCACCACUCCAUGGAAGACGGUGUUGGAAGUCUUUAAAUUCUUGUCGGUUAAGCCCAUGCGCCGAAAGGUCUCAUAAUAGAGGAUGUUGAUGCUGCUACCUCCAUCCAUGAGUACCUUAGUAAAUUUAUAACCACCAACCUGCGGUGCCACUACCAAGGCCAGUUGACCCGGAUUAUCAACCCGGGGAGGGUGAUCCUCCCUGCUCCAGACAAUAGGCUGUUCCGACCACCUCAAGUAACGAGGGACUGUUGGCUCAACAGAAUUCACCGCCCUGUAUGUGUGCCAUCUUGCAAUAGAUCGUCCUAUCUAUAUCUGACAGAUGGAAAUUAAACUAAAAGAUACCCGCACCUCUAUCCACAUUUGCAGACAAGGCCUUCCCUCGUUAAUCCUUAUCUCCAACAACCUCAUUGUUCAGCAAUUAAAAAAGGAAGCCUCUGGAACAAACUGGCCUGGUGGCCGCUGCCAACAUCGUCCAUCCCCUUGCCUCCGCUCAGUCCGACCACCAAUCACCACCACACCCCACUCCUCUUCACCUUAUCUCCUCUUUCUCGAGAUAUCAUUAGUUUUUACACAUGGUAUUACUCCUGCAUGGGUCAAUCACAACGAGUGUUUUAUAAAAAUAUGCAUCUUGAUGUUCCAUGCAAUGCACGGACAUCUUGCUAGUACUCCUAUAGAAGACUAAGUUGGUGAUGAAUGUGUGUGUGCCAUCCGUCAUUUCUGACCAUUAGAUCUACAUCUAACGACUGUGGGGUAUGUUGUUUCCUUUUCUCACCAACAUCCCACUUCUCUACCAAUUUGCAAAAAAACCAUAAUUAGUAUCUUAAAACUAACCACACCUAAGGGAGUCCGGGAUUAGGGGGUCUCCAGACAGCCAGACUCUAUCCUUCGGCCAGACUAUUGGACUAUGAAGAUACUAAAUUGAAGACUUCGUCUCGUGUCCGGAUGGGACUCUACUUGGCGUGGAAGGCAAGCUAGGAAAUACGGAUAUGGAUAUUUCCUCCUUUGUAACCAACCUUGUGUAACCCUAACCCUCUCCGGUGUCUAUAUAAACCGGAGGGUUUAGUCCGUAGGAUAAGAACAAUCAUACCAUAGGCUAGCUUCUAGGGUUUAGCCUCUUCGAUCUCGUGGUAGAUCAACUCUUGUAAUACCCAUAUCAUCAAGAAUAAAUCAAGCAGGACGUAGGGUUCUACCUCCAUCAAGAGGGCCCGAACCUGGGUAAAACAUCGUGUUCCCUGCCUCCUGUUACCAUCCGCCUAGAUGCACAGUUCGGGGCCCCUACCCGAGAUCCGCCAGUUUUGACACCGACAUUGGUGCUUUCAUUGAGAGUUCCUCUGUGUCAUCAUCAUCAGGCUUGAUGGCUCCUUCGAUCAUCGUUAGCGAUGCAGUCCAGGGUGAGGCCUUUCUCCCCGGAUAGAUUUUUGUAUUCGGCGGCUUUGCACUGCGGGGUGGAGCAGAUUGAAAGCUACGCCCUUGGCCAUCAGGUCAAGUUUGGAAGCUUAAACUACACGGCCGAUAUCCGCGGAGACUUAAUCUUCGACGGAUUCGAGCUCCUGUCGAGUGCGCCGCACUGUCACGAUGGGCAUGAUUUGGCUCUGCCGCCGAACAGUGCCCUGGAGGCCGCACCCUCAUCCGCUCUGACCUUUAAUUCAGAGCCAACUGCACCGUCCGAGGGCGGGUGGCUAGACCCUGCCACGGAGGCUGCAGCCUCAACGGCGGUCGAGCCGAACACCAACCUUAUCCUUCGCGAGGUCCGUGACUCCACAUUGCCGGACUCUCCUCCGAACUCUGAACCAUCCGCGCCCCCGCCAAUCGAAUCUGAUUGGGCGCCGAUCAUGGAGUUCACUGCCACGGAUAUCUUUCAGCACUCGCCCUUCAGCGACAUACUGAAUUCACUAAGGUCUCUCUCUUUGUCAGGAGAGUCCUGGCCGGAUUAUGACCGGCAAGAUUGGGAUGCGGACGACGAAGAAAUUCGACGCCCACCCACCACCCACUUCAUAGACACUGUCAAUGAUUUGACUGACAUGCUCGACUUCGACUCCGAAGAUAUCGACGGUAUGGACGACGACGCAGGAGACGAACAGGAACCAGCGCCUAUAGGGCACUGGAAAGCCACCUCGUCAUAUGAUAUAUAUGUGGUGGACACACCCAAAGAGGGCAAUGGCGACAGAACAGCGGAGGAUGACCCCUCCAAGAAGCAACCCAAGCACCGACGUCAGCGGCGCCGCUCUAAGUCCUGCCAAAACAAAAGUGGUGAUACCGGCACAGGAGAUAAUAGCACUCUGGAUAGUGCCGAAGACGGCAACAAUCCCCUCCAGCAAGAUUUAGGGCAGGAGGAUGGAGAGGCCAGCCCUCCUGAGAGAGCGGCAGAUGAAGAGGAGGAGGAUGACAAUUGCAUGCCUCCCUCCGAAGACGAGGCAAGCCUCGACGAUGACGAAUUCGUCGUGCCAGAGGAUCCCGUCGAAAAAGAGCGCUUCAAGCGCCGGCUUAUAGCCACAGCAAAUAGCCUUAAGAAGAAGCAGCAGCAGCUUCAAGCUGAUCAAGAUCUGCUAGCUGACAGAUGGACUGAAGUCCUGGCGGCCGAGGAAUAUAAACUCGAACGCCCCUCCAAGAGUUACCCAAAAUGCAUGUUGCUACCCCCGACUAGAGGAAGAAGCGUAUAACGCGGCUGACCGGCCACCUCGUGGCCGCGACAGAGAGGCAUUCCAGCCAAAUGCUCAGCCUGCACCCCGACGCCAUUCAAAUAAAAAGGCAUGGGGAAAUACGCUAGACCUGCGAGACGUAUUGGAGGACAAAGCAAAACAUGCAAGAUCGAUCUAUGGAUCACGAGGGCGCGCCACUACGCGAGACGACAAUCGUCACGCCGGAUACAGUAAAAGUAAAUCCAGCCGGGCCGAGCACAGCGGGCAAGACUCAUUGGAGCUGCGUCGCGAUAUAGCCCAGUACAGAGGCGCCACACACCCCUUAUGCUUCACAGACGAAGUAAUGGAUCAUCAAAUCCCAGAAGGUUUCAAACCCGUAAAUAUAGAAUCAUACGACAGUACAACAGAUCCUGCGAUAUGGAUUAAUGAUUUCCUCCUGCAUAUCCACAUGGCACGCGGUGAUGAUCUAUAGGCCAUUAAAUACCUCCCACUCAAACUCAAAGGACCAGCUCGGCAUUGGCUCAAUAGCUUGCCAGCAGAGUCCACUAGCUGUUGGGAAGACCUGGAAGCCGCAUUCCUCGACAACUUUCAGGGCACUUAUGUGCGACCACCAGAUGCCGAUGACUUGAGCCACAUAAUUCAGCAGCCAGAGGAAUCGGCCAGGCAAUUCUAGACACGGUUCCUAACAAAGAAAAAUCAAAUCGUCGACUGUCCGGAGGCAGAGGUCCUAGCAGCUUUCAAGCACAACAUCCGCGACGAGUGGCUAGCCCGGCACCUGGGUCAGGAAAAGCCAAAAUCUAUGGCAGCCCUCACGACACUCAUGACCCGAUUUUGUGUGGGAGAAGAUAACUGGCUGGCUCACAGUAAUAACAUAUCGAAGAACCACGGUACUUCGGAUACCAAGGACGGCAAUAGCAGGUCAUGUUGCAACAAACAUAAGCGCCGCAUUAACAGCGACAAUACCGAGGAUACGACAGUCAAUGCCGGAUAAAAAGGCUCUAAACCCGGUUUAGCGGAAAAAGGCAUUCAAAAGAAGCACCCCGGGCCCGUCCAGUUUGGACCGCAUACUCGAUCGCUCGUGUCAAAUACACGGCACCCCCGACAAGCCAGCCAACCACACCAACAGGGAUUGUUGGGUGUUCAAGCAGGCCGGCAAAUUAAUUGCCGAAAACAAAGAUAAGGGGCCACAUAGCGAUGAUGAGGAGGGGCCCCGACAGCCGAAUACCGGAGGAUAGAAGAGGUUCCCCCCACAAGUGCGGACGGUGAACAUGAUAUACGCAACCUACAUCCCCAAGAGGGAGCGGAAGCGUGCGCUCCGGGACGUAUAUGCGUUGGAGCCCGUCGCCCCAAAGUUCAACCCAUGGUCCUCCUGUCCGAUCACCUUCGAUCGCAGGGACCACCCCACUAGUAUCCGUCAUGGUGGAUUCGUCGCACUGGUCCUAGACCCAAUCAUUGACGGAUUUCACCUCAUUCGAGUCCUUAUGGAUGGCGGCAGCAGCCUGAACCUGCUUUACCAGGACACAGUGCGCAAAAUGGGUAUAGACCCCUCAAGGAUCAAACCCACAAAAACGACCUUUAAAGGCGUCAUACCAGGUGUAGAGACCCAUUGCACAGGCUCAGUCGCACUGGAAGUGGUCUUCGGAUCCCCGGAUAACUUCCGAAGCGAAGAGUUAAUCUUCGAUAUAUUCCCGUUCCGCAGUGGCUAUCAUGCACUGCUUGGGCGAACCGCAUUUGCGAGAUUCAAUGCGGUACCGCAUUAUGCAUACCUCAAGCUCAAGAUGCCAGGACCUCGGGGGGUUAUUACAGUUAAUGGAAACACAGAGCGCUCUCUCUGAACGGAGGAGCACACUGCCGCCCUCGCAGCAGAAGCACAAAGCAGCCUCUUAAGGCAACCCACUAGUUCGGAGAUUAAGGACCCACACAACUUCAAGCGCGCCCGAAGUAAUCGACAACUGGAAUGCCUGACACGUUCCGAGCUCGCAUAGCAAUGCGGGCCCCACCCUGGUCCCAGCCAAACGGCGAAACCCGUGUCACGCGUACAUAAUUACGCAUUAAAAAUACCAUGGGCACAGGCGGGGAAGGGGGCACAACUAUGGCACGCCCCAAGACGCGGCUUAAACCGCACUAGGGGCUUCCCACUUUGUUAUUUUUCUCUCUUUCAGGACAUUAAUCUCUGGAAACCCUGUCCGGCAGCAUGAUUGCCGAACACAUGAUGCAGCAACCAAGGAGGCAGAAAGCUACAUCACACCAUGGAACUCCCAGGUGGAUUAUGAUAACGAGUGAAAUACUUGCUUUAAUAUUAUUCUUCAGCUUGCCCUUGGAGGGGACAUAGUCCUACUUUUUGCUUAUCGCACUACCUGUAUCAUUCUGCUCUAACGCACAUUUUUUAAUACAGAAUGCAUUGCAUUAAGGCUUUUAUUGCAUUCUUAUUUUUAUAUAUAUAUGUGUGUGUGUUCAUUCGUGAUAUCCAGCACCCGUACACUCUGGUACGGCCAAUACGCUAGGGGCUUCAGCAUACCCCACAAUACGGCGUGAGAAGUCCGAACACUUUCGACAGUUCGGCACCCCGAACUUAUAGCAUUAUAUGCAUCAGCUCCGAAUCAUAUCUUGGGUCAAUAGUUGGGUUUGCCCGGCUCCCAUGUUUUGGUACCUUAUGUUCCGCUAUAUCGGCUAAGGUAGCACUGGGAGAACUACUGCGAUUGUGCCCCGGUUCUGCUGGGCUAAGGACCUCAGUAGAGAAAGCUAAAACUGACUGUCAUGAUAAGGCGAGAGACUGGUCGCUGUUCGAGAGGUUUUCGAGUCCUUAAAGACUUACGCCACUUAGAGCGAGGAGUCGGCCCUGUCCGGCUUAAGGCGUGUAUCGUGCCCCAGAUUCAGCCUUCCGAAUACUAGGGGCUUCGCCGAAAUUUAAAAUUAUAGAAUUCUAUGGCUAAGUGAGAGUGAUAACGCAUUAUAGUCCGAUUGCCUUGUUUGUUGUGCUGAGCACCUCCCUCGAAGGACCCAAAAAUGGGAACAAGAGUGCUCAGGUUUAUCCCGAACACCCCAGCACUCGUGGCAUGGGGGCAGAAGCCGACGACUAGCCAUCUCUCAGAUCUGAUAAAUAGCCGAACAGAAGGUAAUAUUUUAAAUUCAAACAAGCGUUGCAUAGCGCAUAUGAACAAGUUUUCAUGAAUACGGGAUUACACGAGCGAGUUCACUCAAAUAUUAUAUCUUUCGUACACUCGUCCGCUACGAGACGGGCACCCUUCAGGACACCCUCAUAGUACAUCUUGGGGUGGCGAUGCUCCUUGCCCUCCGGUGGCCCUUCCUUGAUCAGCUUCACGGCGUCCAGCUUGGCCCAUUGUACCUUCACACGGGCGAAAGCCCGGCGUUCACCUUCGAUGCAAAUGGACCGCUUGAUAACUUCCAGCCGUGGGCAGGCAUCCACAAGCCGUCUCACCAAGCUGAAGUAGCUAUUGGGAAGGGCGUCGCCAGGCCAAUCCGGACUAUCAAGCCCUUCAUGGCCUGUUCGGCCGCCUUGUGUAGCUCGACCAGCUGCUUUAGCUGGUCACUCAUAGGUACUGGGUGUUCAGUCCCAGUAUACUGGGCCCAGAACAACUUCUCCGUCGAGCUUCCCUCCUCGGCCCAGUAAAAUUUUGCGGCAUCCGACACGCUGUGGGGCAAAUCUACGAAUGCUCCCGGAGAGCUCCGGAUUCGGGUAAGUAACAAGUAAUUUACUUUCACAUGCUUACUUUGCAUAUAGAAUGCCUUACCCGCCGCUAUCUUCUUCAUCGCAUCAAUCUCCUGGAGGGCCUUUUGGGCUUCGGCCUUGGCACUCUUUGCACCCUCAAGGGCCGUGGCAAGCUCGGACUCUCGUGUCUUCAAGUCAAGCUCCAACGCCUCGUGCUUCAUCACGAGAGCGUGGAGCUCUUGUUGCACCUCACCCACCCGUGUCUCAUGCCUCUCCCGCUCGGUGCGCUCCUUGGCCGCUUUGUUUUCGGCCUCGGACGGCGCUUGCUUCAGGGUCGCCACCUCGGUCGUGGCCCCUGGCAAAUUUACGAUAAUCCUGUCAUUUUGCAAUCGCUUUCCUUUUAUAGAUUCAUAGACUAGGUACUACUUACCUUUGUUCUCCUCGAGCUGCCUCUUGGCAAGGCCGAGCUCUUUCUUGGACCCUUUAAGGUCCUACUUCAGUGCGGCGACCUCCGCAGUCAGUGCAGCAGAGGCCAGUAGCGAAGCCUGCAUACACAUAUAGACAUACUUAUAUUAGACUCCUGCGAUAUUGUUUGAUCCUCUGUUCGGCUUUUCUUUGUGAACACCGAACAGAGCAUCAGGGGCUACUGUCUAUGCGGUAAUAUUUCGCCUAUAUUUCAAAAACAUACCUCAAAGCCUGUUAGAAGGCUGGCACAGGCUUCAGUCAGUCCACUCUUGGCGGACUGAACCUUCUGGACCACCGCACUCAUAAUAGUGCGGUGCUCUUCGUCAAUGGAAGUGCUGCGAAGCGCUCCCAGCAGAUUGUCCGGUGCCUCUGGAUGGGCAGAGGUCACCGGCAUAGGCGUCUUGCCCCUCUUGGAAGGAGGCCGCCUUCCCGAGUCCGGAACCACUGGAGGUUCCGGCGCGGUGUUCGGCUGAGGGCUGAACUCGGAGCCCUCGGGGGCUUUGCUCCCCCUGCUCCCGGAGUUCGGAAGGUCGCUUUGAGGCGCCUCCGGGACUGUCUCCCCUCGACCCAGUGCCUCUUGAGACAACACCUCGGUGUUGUCCGUAGGGCAAGGGGGAGGUGGCGAUGAGAAGUGGAUCGCUAUCCAUAUCCGACGAGCCCAGGGAGCCCUCCGACGAGGAUACGUUGAUACGGGUUCGGGGCGGUCUGCACAAUCAUAAUUCCGUGUUAGGAGAAGCAGUGCGACAAAGGAAUGCUAUGAGUUGCUCUGGUAUCCGAAUACUUACGACUUCGCCAGGGGCUUGGCCCUGAGCAGCCACUCGUCUUCGCCUUCGGUGGCGGUGGUGGAGUAGUCCGGAAGAAGAGUCCUUCCCUUCUUGGACCCUUCGGCCCCCCAAGUAGGGGCGGCCUUCCUUUUCUUGUCUCCCCUGACUGGAGGGGGAACAUCUUCAUCUUCCUCAUCGUCUUCGGGGGAGGAGUGCAUCGCGGAGUUAUCGGACGAUGAGUCCGAUGAUACCUGGCGCCGGGAGCCCUUUCGGGUUCCCUUGGCCUUCUUGGUCUUCUCCGGCACCUUGUAAGGAGCCGGAGUCAGCAUCUCCGUCAGGAGAGCGUCCGCAGUGUCUUCGGGCAGAGGGGUCGAACAGUUAAUCUGCCCCGACGUCUCCACCCAGUCCUGUCAAAGGCAUGGAGAUCAGACCCCGCACAUGAUUAAGCUAGGGGAAAUAAAUAUCCUACCGGAUGUAUAGAACUCACCGAAUGUGCUCGGCGCUUCGCGCUUAGCCCAUGGUCCUCGGUGAGAGAGGGAGGGACCUCGGCGCCCUUGAACAACACCUUCCAGACGUCCUUGUGCGUUGUGUCGAAGAGCUUGCUCAGAGUCUGGUGCUGGGCCAGGUCGAACUCCCAUAAUUUGAAGUCCCGUUGUUGGCACAGGAGGAUCUGGCGGAUUAGCAUGACCUGGACUAUGUUGACAAGCUUGAGCUUCUUGCUUGUCAUGUUCAUGAUACAUUUGUGGAGUCCGUCCAGCUCCACCGAUGAACCCCACGACAAGCCCUUCUCUUUCCAGGAAGUGAGCCAUGUAGGGAAUCCGGAUCGAAACUUGGGGGCAGCCACCCAUUUGGUGUCGCGCGGCUCGGUGAUGUAGAACCACGCCGAUUGCCACCCCUUUAUGGUCUCCACGAAGGAGCCUUCAAGCCAUAUAACGUUGGGCAUCUUGCCCACCAUGGCUCCGCCGCAUUCUGCUUGUUGGCUGCCCACCACCUUCAGCUUGAUAUUGAAGGUCUUUAGCCAUAGGCCGAAGUGGUGGCGGAUGCGGAGAAAAGCCUUACAGACGACGAUGAACGCCGAAAUGUUGAGGAUGAAGUUUGGGGCCAGAUCAUGGAAGUCCAGCCCGUAGUAGAACAUGAGACCGCGGACGAAUGGAUGAAGGGGAAACCCCAGUCUGCGGAGGAAGUGGUGGAGGAAAACUACCCUCUCAUGGUUCUGGGGUAGGGACGAUCUACCUCACAGCGGGCAGCCGAUGCGCGAUAUUCGCGGCUAAGUAUCCGGCUCCGCGCAACUUUUUGAUGUGUUCCUUCAUAACGGAGGAAGCCAUCCACUUGCCUCCCGCUCCGGACAUGUUUGGAGGAGGUUGAGAAGAAAGAUGUGGACUUGGGCGUUGGGGCUCGAGUGCGCAAGAAUGGAUGGGCAAGGAGGAAGAAGGCGUGGGUAGAGAAAGGUUAAACCUUAUCCCUUUAUAAGGGCGGCCAAAACUAUGCGCCCCCACUAGCCUAGUAAAACUGCUUACCCCCCAAGCGCCGUAAUCGAUGGUGCGGUUGGGUUACCCAUGCCCGUAUUGAUGAAAAUCCCGUAAUAAGGGGAACACGAUCUCUGCUUUGACAAGACGUGUCAAGAAACUGCCUCGCGUUAUGAGCGGGGCUAGUCAAAGGAAAUGGUUCAAAUAAUCACCGGGCUAUGGCAUAAUGUUAUGUUGCCCAAAACGUGUCGGCAGAUUGGAUUUGUGGAAAUAUUAUUCUCUCUACGGUGGUAUGUGGAAAUUAUUUUGCAGGGUCGGACACUAUCCUUGUAUUCAAAUUCUUCCGUGAUGUAUUCGGAGGAGGAACCCGCCUUGCAAUGCCGAAGACAAUACCGCGCACCGGGCUCAUCGUCAUUGAAGCCUGGUUCAGGGUCUACUAAGGGAGUCUGGGAUUAGGGGGUCUCCGGACAGCCGGACUCUAUCCUUUGGCCGGACUGUUGGACUAUGAAGAUACGAGAUUGAAGAUUUCGUCCCGUGUCCGGAUGGGACUCUACUUGGCGUGGAAGGCAAGCUAGGCAAUACGGAUAUGUGUAUUUCCUCUUUUGUAACCGACCUUGUGUAACCCUAACCCUCUCCGGUGUCUAUAUAAACCAAAGGGUUUAGUCCGUAGGAUAAGAACAAUCAUACCAUAGGCUAGCUUCUAGGGUUUAGCCUCUCCGAUCUCGUGGUAGAUCAACUCUUGUAAUACCCAUAUCAUCCAGAAUAAAUCAAGCAGGACGUAGGGUUUUACCUCCAUUAAGAGGGCCCGAACCUGGGUAAAACAUCGUGUCCCCUGCCUCCUGUUACCAUCCGCCUAGACGCACAGUUCGGGACCCCCUACCCGAGAUUCGCCGGUUUUGACACCGACAACACCCCUCCCUCACCUCACCAAAAUAGCCUAAGGAAUAUUUUCUGAUUGAAACAUAAUAUAUCUCUAGUGAUAUAUGUAUAUCAAAAUUUGAGUGCUUUGUAUCAAGUUUGUGAAUAAGUAUUAUUCUUAUUAUGAUCCGUUGCAACGCACGUGAACAUUGCUAGUAUAACUAACUCAUUAGUCACAUUGCUUGUAAGGCUUAUAGUGAUGUGCAUUACCGAGAGGGCCUAGAGAUACCUCUCUGACAAUCGGAGUGACAAAUCCUAAUCUCGGUCUAUGCCAACUCAACAAACACCAUCGAAGACACCAAUAGAGCAUCUUUAUAAUCACCCACUUACGCUGUGACGUUUGAUAUCACACUAAGUGUUCCUGCAGUAUUCAGGAGUUGCAUAAUCUCAUAGUCAUAGAAACAUGUAUAAGUUAUGGAGAAAGCAAUAGCAAUAAACUAAACGAUCAUAGUGCUAGCUAACGGAUGGGUCUUGUCCAUCACAUUAUUCUUUAAUGAUGUGAUCUCGUUUAUCAAAUGACAACACAUGUCUAUGGUUAGGAAACUUAACCAUCUUUGAUAAACGAGCUAGUCUAGUAGAGGCAUACUAGGGACAUUCUGUCUGUCUAUGUAUUCACACAUGUACUAGGUUUCUGGUUAAUACAAUUCUAGCAUGAUUAAUAAACAUUUAUCAUGAUAUAAGGAAAUAUAAAUAAUAACUUUAUUAUUGCCUUUAGGGCAUAUUUCUUUCAUGUUAUCGAUGUCGAAGCGUGGGCUCUAUCCGAUCCAGCCAUUGCAUUUCCAUCUGGCGUAGUGCGUGAGAUUAACGAUUUGUUAUUGAGAAAUAUAUGAUUUCAUUUGGAAAGGUUAUAAAAAAUGCCGUCUUUCUUUUACGAGGGUGAUCUCAUAUAUAUGGUGCGACUUCUGAAUUCUUAAUUACCUACUCCCUUCGUCAAGAGUGUUUUUGACACUAAUGUAAUGUCAAAAACGCCUUUAUAUUAUGGGACUGAGGGAGUAAUAUUUACGUGAUUAAAUUGAAUCAAUGCAUGCCAAAGCAAGCACAAAAAACGAACAAGGAGGGUCGGGCGAAUCGAUUCGUUUUUUUAGUGGGAGAAAAUUUGCGUGAAGGGUGGUCAUGGAAGGUGAGGCACAACUAAAUUGAAGAGGCGAGAUUACGAAGUCCUAAUAGUAGAGAUGCCGUUAAAAAAAGAACUCCUAAUAGUAGAGAUUGCCAUUCACUUUUACUUUUUUCGUUCAAGGCUUUUACAACAUGUUCAUAAGUAUGUUUGUCUUAUGUACCAUACUAGAUACUCAAAAAUACAAUACGAGAUACCUAAAGAUAAAUGUGUAGAUUUUGAAUAGUUUGAAGCUAGAAUUUGAUUUUCUUUUUUCCUUUUGCGUGAAAACUUCUGACAUAUUUAUCUUCAAUCAUGACAGUAUAGAGAACAUCAGAAAAUGAUAAAAAUUACAUCCAGAUUCGUAGACCAUCGAGCGACGACUAUAGACAUUGAAGUGAGCCGAAGGCGCGCCGCCCUCAUCGUCCUUCCUCGCUGUCGAUGAAGAACAGCAUAGAUCGGAAGGAUCCAAUCCGAAGACACACAAACAUAGACAAAUGACGACCAAACCCGAGCAGAUCCAUCGAAUACAUAUUCAUUGGAGACAUACCUCCACAUGCCCACCAAUGAUGCUAGAUGCACUGGUAGGACGGGGGCUAGGCAGUGAGAACGUUAUUCCAUCUUAAGGAAGUCGCCGCCAUCUCGUCUUUCUGAAUAGGACACAAACCCUAAUAUAACUAUAAAGAAACAUGUAAAAACGGGCCAUCCCCGCGCCUUCAUGGUCCUAAGGCCAUUGGAGACGAGGCGAACCGGCGGCGGCUACGCGAUAUAGAGGAAUCCUAAUCUCUUUUUUUGGGAGUGAGGAGACAGCAGCCGUGUGUUAUCAAUCAUUGUUGCAAUUUGCAACGGACCAUGUUGCAAUUUUGGAAAGAGAGAAGAAAGAUUAUACGAUGAGCGGCUAUGGAACCACAAAUUGAGAUUUCUUCUUUAUAUACAAAAUAUCUAAUCAAAUGGAGAUGAGAUUUACUUAAAAGUAUUCCAUCUAUCCCCCUUUUCUCUUUUUGAAACAGAUGCCACGGUAGACCGGGUGCAUGGUCGUGGCUCGGUUAUAACAACCCACAAAUCGUCGAGAGCAUUGAUUCCCGCGUACACCGGAUCCAGCAACCUCCUCCCCAGCGGCGGCCCACCGGUCAUGGUCUCUGCCCACAGAAACCAACCUGGCCAACGCUGGCGCCGACGGGUGGCCAGCCCACACGUGCCAAGCCCGGCCCCCGCACGUCAGCCUCCCCCCGUCCAACCACGUCCUCCAGGCCACCCCGAGCCGUCCAUCACGGCCCCCGGCACGCCACCAGCCGUCCGAUACACCCCGGGGUUGUUCCACGCCCUCCCUCGUAUACCCCGCCCGCCGCCGCCUAUAUAAGCCCCGCCUCCUCCCCCACCCCGAGCAGAUAAGAUCGAUCGAUCGCGCAGGCGCCAGGGAAAGAGAGAGAAAAAAAACAACCAGUUCGUCGGUAGGGUUUCGGGGGCUGCGAUGGCGAUGGAGGCUCGGAUGAAGGGGACGGUCAAGUGGUUCAACGACACCAAGGGGUUCGGCUUCAUCACCCCCGCCGACGGCAGCGAGGACCUCUUCGUGCACCAGUCCUCCAUCAAGGCCGACGGCUUCCGCUCGCUGGCCGAGGGCGAGGUGGUCGAGUUCGCCGUCUCGGAGGGCGACGACGGCCGCACCAAGGCCGUCGACGUCACCGGCCCCGACGGAUCCUUCGUGCAGGGCGGCGCGGGCGGCGGCGGAGGAGGUGGAGGCUUCGGAUCCCGCGGCGGCGGCGGAUCUCGCGGCGGCGGGGGCUUCGGCGCCCGCGGCGGGGACGGAUCUGGCGGGUAUGGUGGUGGGUACGGCGGUGGUGGUGGUGGAGGCUGGGGCGGGCAGAGGAGAUCCGGCGGUGGGGGCGCCGGUGGGGCCUGCUUCAAGUGCGGGGAGCCUGGCCACAUGGCCAGGGACUGCUCGGUCAACGGCCCCGCCGGUGGCGGCGGCGGCGGCGGCUGCUACAAGUGCGGGGAGCAAGGCCACAUNNNNNNNNNNNNNNNNNNNNNNNNNNNNNNNNNNNNNNNNNNNNNNNNNNNNNNNNNNNNNNNNNNNNNNNNNNNNNNNNNNNNNNNNNNNNNNNNNNNNNNNNNNNNNNNNNNNNNNNNNNNNNNNNNNNNNNNNNNNNNNNNNNNNNNNNNNNNNNNNNNNNNNNNNNNNNNNNNNNNNNNNNNNNNNNNNNNNNNNNNNNNNNNNNNNNNNNNNNNNNNNNNNNNNNNNNNNNNNNNNNNNNNNNNNNNNNNNNNNNNNNNNNNNNNNNNNNNNNNNNNNNNNNNNNNNNNNNNNNNNNNNNNNNNNNNNNNNNNNNNNNNNNNNNNNNNNNCCGGGACACAUCGCGAGGGACUGCCCCACCAGCAGCGGCUUCGGCGGGGGCGGCGGCGGCGGGAGGUUCGGCGGAGGAGGCGGCGGCGGCAACGACCGCUCCUGCUACAACUGCGGCGAGCCCGGCCACAUCUCCCGCGACUGCACCAAGUGAGGGGAUAUCUCUGCCCCUCCCCCCUCUAUAGAUUGCGCCUAAAUACCUCUCGUCUUAGUUUUGCCGAUCGAUCGAUCUGGGCCCAAGCGCCCAGCUUCAGCCGCCUCGCUUAUUUUAUCUUCCUCCCCCCUUCCGUUCUCGGAGUCCGUCCUAGGGAAAAGUCAGUCAGUCAGUCAGUCCGUGUGAUGGUUAAUUUUGCUAUGAAUUGGUCUCUGGUACCCGUACCGUACUCUCAGUUGAUGUUUAAGGUCGUGAUGAUGAUGGAUUAUUGGUGAUUUUUGUGGUGAUGAUGAGAUUGCAACAGAUCUCUGUUUUUUUGGUUUCAUCGAUGAAGUAAAAUGAUGCCCGUCGUUAUUAUCAUCCUCCAUGAUUGAAUGAAUGAAUGAAUGAAUUCUCUCUUGUCAGAUCAGAUCUCUGCUCUAGUGGUAGGACUAUCAUCUCUGUCUGUCAUCCUG